UAAUUGAAGAGUUUGAUCAUGGCUCAGAUUGAACGCUGGCGGCAGGCCUAACACAUGCAAGUCGAGCGGUAACAUUUCAAAAGCUUGCUUUUGAAGAUGACGAGCGGCGGACGG
Molecule: ribosomal RNA, 114 nt
Filed under: Shewanella algae
Lineage: Bacteria; Pseudomonadati; Pseudomonadota; Gammaproteobacteria; Alteromonadales; Shewanellaceae
Also listed under: 2 other names
Description: partial 16S ribosomal RNA
Rfam family: Bacterial small subunit ribosomal RNA
Source: RNAcentral